UACGUAGGGGGCGAGCGUUGUCCGGAAUCAUUGGGCGUAAAGAGCGUGUAGGCGGCUUGGCAAGUCUGACGUGAAAGCCCGCGGCUCAACCGCGGAUUGUCGUUGGAAACUGCCUCGCUAGAGUCCGGAAGAGGAGAGCGGAAUUCCUGGUGUAGCGGUGGAAUGCGCAGAUAUCAGGAAGAACACCAGUGGCGAAGGCGGCUCACUGGCCCGAUACUGACGCUGAGGUGCGAAAGCGUGGGGAGCAAACAGG
Molecule: ribosomal RNA, 253 nt
Filed under: uncultured bacterium
Lineage: Bacteria
Description: partial 16S ribosomal RNA
Rfam family: Bacterial small subunit ribosomal RNA
Source: RNAcentral